RNAcentral lists this long non-coding RNA (1622 nucleotides) under Gallus gallus (chicken). RNAcentral describes it as "lncRNA (ENSGALG00010021855.1)". The record is from RNAcentral. Lineage: Eukaryota; Metazoa; Chordata; Aves; Galliformes; Phasianidae.
AGUAUCUGCUAAAGUUGUUGCUGUCUUUGCAUAGCUUUAAUGCUCCCAUUGUAGAGUCUUGGAGGAGCCUAUCUCAAAGAGAGACUUGAGAAUGGAUUUUGCUGUGGCAUUGGUGGACUUCCCCCCUGGAAACCAUGGCCAGGUUCAAUCUGACUCCUUGCCACUGCCAUUUUGAGUGUAAAAGCACUUCUUGUGAGAACAUAAAUUGGAUCCCCACAGCUACGGGAAAGACACGAGAACCCACUGUGACUGUACAGCCCUGCUCUGCCAUUUUCAUCUCCUACCAAUGUGUCUCCUGAAAAGUACUGCUGCUGCGGGGAGGACAACUGUGGUUCAGACAGAAACAGGAGGAAGACAAAAGGGUGAGGUUUGACAUGAAGAAAUAUUCUCCGGAAGGGGGGAUCCCAGGGACGUCUGCAUGCAAAAAGAUACAAGCCACUGUCUGCAUGAGAACAAGGAAGAUAAUGAGUGGAGUAAGACAAGGAUCAAAGGCAAAGAUAGACCAGACUGCUUGUUUGCCACCCCAGCACCUAGAUGAGCACUGAGGGAGGUAUGUUUUCCAUGCAUAUGGAGUGUGGCUAGAAAAGCCUUUGGUUUCUGAAAAAGAAAUCAGUAGGAGCACAAAGUAGUUCUGGUCAUUUGCAGGGGAAUGAAAUGUGCUUUCAGCUCUGCAGCCCCCUGCCACACUUGCCUCUCCAUGAAGACUGAUUUCAAGAAUGCUGAGCUCUAAGCCUUUUUUCCAAAAUCUGUUGUGGCCCCAGAAGCAGCAAUCCUUAGCCAUGCUAGUCCUUGAAGCUCUUGUACAACUCUGAUUUUUUCCUUAGGGUUAAUAAUGUGAAGCCUCUUCAGCUUGAUGAGGAGGCUAAGGAGUUGCUUGUAUUUCUUAAAAAUUCUAUGUACUGGUAGAAGUCACUGCAAGUUUGGCUGAGUUUGUGUGAAAUAAGAAAGGAAGUAUCACUACGUCUGGACAAGGUUUAUCAUGGUAUUCAGGUUUUUGUGAACAACUGUUUUAAUGAAGGUUCUUUACAGACAAGCCUGUCUUGGUGCUAAGCAGAUUUCUCGGCUAGCUAUGUAAACCAGUCUGAAGGAGAGUCAAGCAUUUGGCCCCUUAGCAGGCUGCAGUUCAACACGAAGGAGGGCAACCUAUUUAUUUACUUGUGCUUUUAAAUGACUUGUCUGGAGGCAUCCCACAGAUAUUUUGAGCUGGAAGAAGACUUCACAAAGAAGGAAAAGAAUAGGGAAUCUCUAGAUGCAAAGGGAAUAGAGAGGAGACUUGCUAAACUCUGAAUGCCUGCAGAUGUUCAGAGGCGGUUUUUCAGUAAGCCAGUUCUGAAAUAUUGCAGUCACUGCAAAUCAGUCAGAUUUUGGACCCUGUUCAUCUUUGUCUCCGAACCCGGAUCUUGCAGGAAUAAUUGAGCAUUAAGUAGUUAAUUAAACCUGACUGUAUCCUCACAAACACUGCUUGCAGGAUAAUUCUCUACAUAGCCCCAAUUUGUAGUUAGGGUUUGUGUGGGCAAUUAAUUUCUCUUGUCCUGCCCUCAUGUAAGUUACAGUAAGAUUCUCUUAGUUUGUAAUGAGCUUGAUGGUUGUUAGUGCCUGUGCCUUUUAAAUAAAUUAAUGGU